GGUUGAUGAGGAUUAUAUUAAGGCUUGUUUCUCAAAACAUUCGCAGUGGCCGCCUAAAGCUUUCGCCUUUCGCCAGGCUUGAGAGCUAAUGCAGCUUUAUCCUUCCUUGGAUGUCUGAAACC
Small nucleolar RNA from Arabidopsis thaliana (thale cress), 122 nucleotides. It matches the Rfam family "Small nucleolar RNA SNORD14". From Rfam's summary of the family: U14 small nucleolar RNA (U14 snoRNA) is required for early cleavages of eukaryotic precursor rRNAs. The record is from Rfam. NCBI's taxonomy places the organism in Eukaryota, Viridiplantae, Streptophyta, Magnoliopsida, Brassicales, Brassicaceae.